UACGAAGGGGGCUAGCGUUGUUCGGAUUUACUGGGCGUAAAGCGCACGUAGGCGGAUCGAUCAGUCAGGGGUGAAAGCCCAGAGCUCAACUCUGGAACUGCCCCUUGAAAACUGUAUGGCUUGAGUAUGAGAGAGGUGAGUGGAAUUCCCAGUGUAGAGGUGAAAUUCGUAGAUAUUGGGAAGAACACCAGUGGCGAAGGCGGCUCACUGGCUCAUUACUGACGCUCAGGCGCGACAGCGUGGGGGAUCAAACAGG
This 256-nucleotide ribosomal RNA is filed under the name uncultured bacterium. RNAcentral describes it as "partial 16S ribosomal RNA". It matches the Rfam family "Bacterial small subunit ribosomal RNA", at positions 524 to 776 of the family's 1533-position model. The record is from RNAcentral.